Molecule: ribosomal RNA, 234 nt
Filed under: uncultured bacterium
Lineage: Bacteria
Description: partial 16S ribosomal RNA
Rfam family: Bacterial small subunit ribosomal RNA
Source: RNAcentral
GGCGGACGGGUGAGUAAUGUAUUGGAACUUGCCUAAUAGUGGGGGACAACGUGUGGAAACGCACGCUAAUACCGCAUACGCUCUACGGAGGAAAGCGGGGGAUCUUCGGACCUCGUGCUACUAGAUGGGCCUAUAUUGGAUUAGCUAGUUGGUAGGGUAAAGGCCUACCAAGGCGACGAUCCAUAGCUGGUUUGAGAGAAUGAUCAGCCACACUGGGACUGAGACACGGCCCAG